Vicia faba (fava bean) is the source of this 136-nucleotide non-coding RNA. The record is from the annotation of a GenBank genome assembly. Lineage: Eukaryota; Viridiplantae; Streptophyta; Magnoliopsida; Fabales; Fabaceae.
GUUUAAGGGCGGAUUUAUCUGAUCAAGGGCCGGGGCACAAGGGUCCUGGUACUAUCCAGGUGCGAAGAACCCCGGAGGUGACUGCAAUGAGCAGAAAUCUAACUAACCGGCCUAAACGACGAGCAAACACUCGAAC